Molecule: ribosomal RNA, 78 nt
Filed under: Escherichia coli
Lineage: Bacteria; Pseudomonadati; Pseudomonadota; Gammaproteobacteria; Enterobacterales; Enterobacteriaceae
Also listed under: 1 other name
Source: RNAcentral
CCUGGCGGCCUUAGCGCGGUGGUCCCACCUGACCCCAUGCCGAACUCAGAAGUGAAACGCCGUAGCGCCGAUGGUAGU